RNAcentral lists this long non-coding RNA (784 nucleotides) under Rattus norvegicus (Norway rat). RNAcentral's name for it is "long non-coding RNA NONRATT027071". Lineage: Eukaryota; Metazoa; Chordata; Mammalia; Rodentia; Muridae. The record is from RNAcentral.
AGUGCGGCCCACCUCCCCAUGUCCCCUCGGCCAGCUUCCCUAGACAGAGGGAACUAUGUUCGACUUAACAUGAAAACCAAAUGCUUUGUACGAGUUGGGGCCAGUCGGGGCAGGCUUCUCCGAAAGCAGGUGAGAUAUGCCGAAAGGAACAGGCCAGCCCUUCUCUCCUCCCAUCCACUCCUAAUUGGUUCUUCCAUUUGUGGCCCUUCUCCAGGUAUGGAAGCAAAAGUGGAAGAAGAAACAAGAGUGGUUUGGGAAAAGUGGACCCAGGGCCACAGUCAAGGACACUUGUUUCCGGUGUGGGCAGUUUGGUCACUGGGCAUCCCAGUGUUCCCAACCAGCAGCUCUUAACCCUGGUCCAGGCUCCACCCUGACCAUCCAGCCAAAAGGUGACAGGAAUGACAAACAUCCCAUUUCCACGUUGGGGGGAGUAGCACAGAAGACUGGCACCACUUCCUGUAACCACUCUGGUGAGGAAACUGAACCUGCUGGACCAGUGCUACCGGUGCCUCAUUGCCCCACGCCAGUGUUACCCCUCUACCCACCAGGGCCCUUGGGACAGGUAGCAGACACCCCUGCUGAGGUAUUCCAAGUCCUGGAGCAGCUAGGGCACCACCAAACAUGGGAGGGGCUACAUGAGGGGGCAUGGGGCAAGCCAGACUGCCACUCCACAGAGGCUGUCAGGCUCACCAAGGCAAUGAUGUGGCCAUCACUGACUGUUAGGCAGAACCUUCUGGCUGCAGGAAGGGGAUAAGAAGAUCCAAAAUACAGAUAAAGAGCCUUC